RNAcentral lists this long non-coding RNA (2749 nucleotides) under Olea europaea subsp. europaea. The record is from RNAcentral. Lineage: Eukaryota; Viridiplantae; Streptophyta; Magnoliopsida; Lamiales; Oleaceae.
UAUUAAUUUAAUUUAAAAUUUUCUCUCUCAUAUUUUCAAUUACAUAAUUUUAAUAAAAUAAUGUUAUACGUAAAUUGAAAAUUUUCAUUUUUUAAUAAUUAUCUAUUUAAAAAAAAUACUAUUUUCCAUUAUAAAUCCAAAUAAUGGAUCAAACGGGGGCCUGAAUAGAUAGCCCAUUUUAGACACGAGACUGAAAUCUCAGACAGAACAGAGAGAAGAAGAGCUAGGCAACGAACAAGAAAAUGAACACAGACAUUACAGCAUCGGCAAAGCCGGAGUAUCAGGUGAUUGAUCGGAACCCUCCGUUUACUAAGACGGUGGCCAAUUUCAACACCCUCGACUACCUCCGCCUCACCACAAUCACCGGCGUUUCCGUCGUCGUCGGCUACCUCUCCGGUACAGAAAUGUACCCAUUCUUUUAGUAUUAUGUGAUUGAUUGUUCAUUUUGUUUAAUCGUGAUUGAUUGUUCAUUUUGGAUAUUGUUAUAUUGAUUGAAAUUUUUCUUAAUUUUUUCCGUUUAAAAAUUGACUGAUAGGAAUUAAGCCGGGAAUAAGGGGCCCAUCUAUGGUAACUGGUGGUUUGAUUGGGGUGAUGGGAGGUUUCAUGUACGCCUACCAGAAUUCAGCCGGGAGGCUCAUGGGAUUUUUCCCCAACGAAGGGGAGGUUAUAAAGUACAAGAAGUUUUCCUCUUAGGGUUUUUUCUCCUUUGCAUUUAUAUUGUAUUUUUUUUUUACCCUAAUUUGUUUCGCAUUGUUUGCAUUGUGUGUUUGGAAGUCUUUAUAAUAUUAACAAUAAUCAAACCGUUGGUCCUGAUACUCUAAAUUCCUGGUGCUGCAGAUAUUGUAUGUUUCAAUGUGUAAUUGAAUGCUGCUUAUCCUCCUGUUUACACCCAUCAAAUUGGUAUGUUUUGAAGGUAGAUUGUUAUCGCAAUUCAAUUGCAUAAUGUUUGCCUAUGGAUAUUCUAGUGAUACUUCUAUGUUAGUGACAGAAAAUCUGUAAUUAGGAAUUUGCCUUUACAGCUAGGUUCAGUUAUUGACGCUUCCCAUCCUUGGUGGUGUUCUGUGAUGAGCAUUCUUUAACCUUGUGUAAAUUUGGACGAAUGGCUCCAUAAUAACGAAGAAUUCUACAAAUUAGUUUCGUCCAAACUUGUUUGAAGGUCAUUAUUAAGCCAUUAUUUGAGCUCCAUUUUUGCCAAGAAAAUGUAUGAUGUGAAAUGUGUGGUUAAAAAAUAAGGAAAAAUUUUAAAUUUGCGUGUAAUAUUAUUUUAUUGAACAAAUGUGUGAUUGAAAAGAUAUCAAAAUACUGUUUAAGAAUGUAUUUUUUCCAAAGAACGGGGCUCAAACAAGGGCUAAGGAUGACUUCUUUCAUUAAAGAUUCUGCUAUAGGUAAGAGGCAAACUCAAGUCGGGUGGGGCAAAGGGAUUCUUCCAAGAGAAUCUUAGGAAGAUAUAGGGAUGAAUCAAUUUUUGUGAGCUCUCUCAGUUGUGAUUUUAUAGCUGCAUGAUUAGUGGUUUAGCUGGCCACAGUCAAUAUAAAACAACUUAUAAGCAUUAGGUAUUCUUUGAGUCCUUAUGGAACAAGGAAGAUGGAAUUUAAGGACGUGCAGGAAGAACUUGUAGACAGAUUUACAACUGAUGAGAUGUUGAAAAUAUGAAAAUUACCUUGAUUUCUUUAGGCUUAAAGGGCAAUGUGAAGGUUUUCACUGCGGUAUGGCAUUGUUUUAAAGUUAAAUAUCUAUAUUCGCAUUAAGCAUUUUUUGGAUUUAUGGAGUAAUUUGAAGUUUUGGCAUAUUCCUGAAUUGUAAACCUUUUCGAUAACUUCCUCAGAUUAAGUGGUGGAACCACCAAUGGAUACUCAAGGUCACCUAUUGUGAAGGGUAAAUUAGUUUUCUUGAAAACGUGUCACAUCUUCUUGUGUUUGAGUUUCUAGAAACAUAAUCAGAAUACGGUUAAAAGGCCAAUCAGGUAACUCAGCCUUUAUUCUUUGUUAAUCAUUCUGGAGGACAGUUAUAGAAAAUUGACAUUCUGAUACAUCACCUGUGAUAGGGUGAAGUUUAAAAUUUAUUUGAGACUAACGAUUCUUGGGAUUAGUGGCAAAGUAUACUAUUCCCUAUUUGAUUUAGCUAAAAAUCGAACUUUUGGUAGAUUUUGAUAAAAGUUGAUAAAAUUGUGGAUCUCAUGAAAUAUAUGAUUGAAAAUGAAUUUUAUAAAAUAGAGGCCAAACAGAGUAUAUAUAGAAAUGCAAUUAGCACGUCUCUUACUAGUUGUUUGAAGGUUAUAUUGUAGAACAGAGUUAAUGGAUUUGUUCUCAUGAUUUUUCUUCUGAUGAUAACCAAAAAGGGGUUCUGUGGAAAUCGUAAUACAGGUACAAAUAUCCUCAUUGUGCUAUGCUAUCAUUGACAAGUGCUAGCAAAGAAUCUGAGAUGAAUGGAUAUUUUGUAUACAGAGUUGGGUGAGGGAGUUGCAUAUUCAUUAAUCUUUUUAGGACUGCUACUUGUUACUCUCCUGAUUUCUCUUAUUUUCUCUUUGUUCUUUAAUCCUCAAGCAUCUCAUAGCAAACUGAACAUAGCAUUGGAUUGUUUAUGUAAAUUUUUGGAAAUAACUGAUUGAAGUAUCGUAUACUAUUAUCCUCUUUUAUUUCGUUGAACUGGUCGGUUAUCAUAUUGCGUAACAAUUCAUCUGCCAACGCAUUUGCUUUUACAUCUCAAUGAAUUCUCCCUUUGAUUUUAGGAACUCACUGUUAGAUUUAGG